UACUUAAGUAAGGGGGCGUUCGCCUAUGUCAUUAUUUUUAGGAAACCGUAAGACAGUUACUCUAUGGUAGAAUAAUUUAUUGGUAAUAUUUUUUAAUUUUACCUAUUUUCUUUGGACAUAGUGACAGUGGUUAACAGUAGUUUACCAAUAUGAGAAUAUUUCAAGAUGAGUAUUGACUACCUUUGAUUCCUGAUGGUAUGGUCCAUAUGAACAUAAACAAACCUGUGGACAUGGGGUAUGAAGUGCAGUAGAAACACACUAGAUGCCUUUAGAAGGUGGAUCGCUCAUGUUAUAAUAGUUCUGAAAGGCUGUGAUCCAUGUGGUAGGGGUGUUGUAAAGUUCAACACACGGCCUCACAUAGCAUACACAAUGGCCUCCGUGGACAAGCCAGAGUCUGAUCAACAUGAUGAUGUUGUCACCACUGAUGGUCAAAGUAUACGUCGUCUACACUCAGCUUCAGGUUUCUCUCAGGAAGAGGAUGGUGUCUUCUGUAAGAAUGACCCUUACAAAGCCCUGCAGAGGUCCCAGUCAGAUGCAGCACUCCUGCACUCCCCUCAUGAAUCACAGCCGAAGCUGUCCAACCUUGUCAGUAUGGCAGAGAAUUUCAAUGGAGGCACAAAUAUAUCUGAGUGUUCCAAAGUAUACCUUGAUUUGUCUCGUGCUGAGGCAUUUGAGAAGGUGGAACUCGGAGAGAGUCAAGGUAGAAUGGUACGAGUAUCAUCUGGUCGAUUUUUGGAAACAAUCUUGCAAGAUGAAGAGCUCCAGACAGGAGAUCUGAGUCAUGUUUAUAGCCAGCAUUCUCUCUCCAGUGACAGCAAGUCAAGCCUUGGAUGCAGCACGAGUGAGGAUGACAUUUCAGGGAGAAUUUCUACUUGUGUAGAGAAGACUUCUUCUUCAUCAGUGAAAGUGGUCAAGACAAGUCUAGGUCAGCCUAGUGAGCAGGCCAAUAAACUUAAAGCCAAUAUGAAAUCUAGUUUUCAGAUAUACUCUCAUUCCUUGAAACAGAACAUUCGCCAGCUGCAGAUGGGAUCUGUUCCAGAACAGAUAAAUGCCUUGCAAGAAUUGAAUGUACUCAUAGCUCAAGCAUGGUCAAUGCAGAUAUAUGGUCGAGACCUUGCUUAUAGUCUGUGUGAUAUCCUGAGGACAGAACGUGCACUGGACAUUAUAGUCAAUAACUGUGCAUCCAGUAAUAAGGAAUUACGAACUGCUUCUGCAUUUUUAUUGGAACAAGUUCUCACAACAGGCAAUAGAAAGCGUGUGGCUGAAGCUGGGUUAGAGACAGUAGUAAAGAUGACUAUUACAGCUAAAGGUGAUUGUGAAUUGGCUCGUACAAGUACAGGAAUCCUAGAAAGCCUUUUUAAGACAUCUGAAGAAACAUGUACAAAUGUUAUCAAGCUUGGUGGUCUGGAUGUUAUUUUACAUUGGUGUCGCUGUAAUGACCGCUUGACCCUAAGACAUUGUGCAAUAGCUCUUGCCAACUUGGCCUUGUAUGGUGGCCCAGAAAACCAACAUCAAAUGACCAAACGUAAGGUCCCUGAAUGGUUGUUUCCUUUAGCCUUUAUUAAUGAUGACAGUGUCAGAUACUAUGCUUGUCUAGCAAUUACGGUGCUGGUAGCAAACAAAGAGAUCGAAGCUGCAGUAGAGGCAUCUGGUACCCUAGGGUUGGUCAGUCCUUUCCUUACCAACCAUAACCCAGCAGAGUUUGCCCAGAUGGACACUUCACAUCGUCAAGGGCGGUCACUAGGCUGGCUUCGUCGUCUUGUCCCAGUCCUGUCAAGCAAGAGGGAGGAGGCUCAAGCUCUAGCUGCCUUUCACUUUGCCAUGGAAGCAGGAAUCAAGGCUGAGCAAAACAAGAAGGAGGAACUGUAUGAAAUUGGCUGUGUGGAACCCCUAAAGCGAUUGGCAAGCACCCCAAACUCAACAGCAUCACAGCUGGCUGCAGAGGCACUGAAGAUAAUUGGGGAAGAGAUACCCCGCAAGCUGUCUCAACAGGUGCCUCUGUGGAAUGUGGAGGAUGUGGUCUAUUGGGUCAAUCAGGUGGGGUUUGAGAGCUAUGCUGGCAUGUUUGAGAAGUGCUGCGUAGAUGGUGACCUUCUACUGCAGCUUAUGGAGGACGAGCUAAUCAGCAGUUUGGGAAUGGAUUGCAGGAUUGCUAGGAAGAGAUUUGUAAGAGAGUUGCGUGAUCUGAAGAUAUCAGCAGAUUAUACAUCAUGUGAUCCCAGCAAGCUGGACGAUUGGUUGAGUGAGGUGGCCCCAGUGUUGUCCCAGUACACAUACCAGAUGCUGCACUGUGGGGUAGAUCGCAAGAUGCUGGCUCUACUGACAGAGGAACACUUACAAACCGACUGCAAUAUUAGCAAUGGUGUGCACCGCAUGAUGAUGCUUCAGAGGGUGAGAGAAUAUGAACAAGCAGGCCUCCCCACCAUGCUGACAAGUCCCCAGCUUAUUUGUAGAGACAUCACUGAUGGAGCUUUUAACAGUUCAGAGAAAACCAUUGAUGCUUUCAUCAGCUACCGUCGAUCUAACGGAUCACAGCUAGCCAGCCUGCUGAAGGUCCAUCUACAGCUUCGUGGCUUCUCUGUCUUUAUUGACAUUGAACGGCUUCGUGCAGGCAAAUUUGAUGAGAACCUGCUGUAUAGCAUUAAAAUGGCGAAAAAUUUCAUCCUGAUUCUAACUUCCAAUGCCCUGGACCGCUGUUUUGGUGAUGCGGACCAGAAGGACUGGGUUCACAAGGAGAUUGUUGCAGCAUUAGAGAACAAGUGCAACAUUAUCCCUGUAAUGGAUAACUUUGACUGGCCAUCGCCAGACCUCCUGCCAGAUGAUAUGAAACACCUCAGCUUCUUUAAUGGAAUCAGAGAGAUGAACUGUGUGAGAUCCAGCUGCUGAAGAAAAGUGGUCCCAACAAGUACAGGAAGCAGCGCCCUCUCAUAGUCGACACAUGACCCGUGGAUCCACGACUACCAGGAUGCCUGUGUGGACAAACUGGAGCAGUUCCUCCGUGGAGAAGUCAACACAAUCACCAAGCGAAGCCAGCUAGUCAGCAUGGGUAGUCAGG
RNAcentral lists this unclassified non-coding RNA (3055 nucleotides) under Haliotis rufescens (red abalone). Its description in RNAcentral is "nAD(+) hydrolase SARM1-like, transcript variant X2". Lineage: Eukaryota; Metazoa; Mollusca; Gastropoda; Lepetellida; Haliotidae. The record is from RNAcentral.